CGUCUUCAUAUCUCCCAUGGUCCUGCCACUGCUCUGAUGAGGAGAUCACCUGAAAAACACAGAUGGAAUAGAAGAAUAAUGAGUAAUAUCUUAGGAUACGUUGUGCAAGCAAAAGAUUUGACUUAUUCAUCAGUCUCCAAAGCUUUGGUAGAUGCUCACAAUGUUGACUGAGAUGGGGGGUGAGGGGACUCUCCACUCUGGCUCUGGAGCAGCAGCAGCAGCUGGUGCAGAGAAAGAAGAGAGAGAGGGAGACAGAGACAGAGACACAGGGAGGUGGGGGAGUUAGAGAACAAGAAAAGGAAAUGAGCAGGAGAGUAUAAUCAGGACCUGAAUAUACACACUAUGUUCAUAUUUCAGGCCUGUGCAGCAUAGGAUGUUAGCAAAUGUUAGCAUAGGAUUGUGUUGAUAAAGUAGUGUUGAACUGUCGAUGCUGCACAUUUUUUUAAGGUCAAUAACAUUAUAUAUAAAUAGCCUAGGCCUGUUUAGGCCCGACUGCCCAUCUGCAUGCUGCGUGUGCCAAGGUCACUGAAUCUUGUGUUUGCUUUUCUGUUGUUUACGAUUGGAAGUGUUGCACAUUUUGAUGGCAAUCCAGCUGCCUGUUUUUUAUGCUCAAGUGCAAAAGAUAAAUACCCACAUGCAUACAUCUUACAGUACAAAAGCAAUGCAAGAGAAGAUGGCUACUCUUCAGUGUAAAAGGGUAUGACAUAAUGCCUAAUGGCACCAUUUUCUCUAACACAUGCAAACAUUGGUAAUUCAUACUUUUCACUCUGCAAACGUGAGCAAGAUUGUCCUGAUUCCAUUAUUAUUCAUGUAGAUAAAUAACACAUCAACCAUCAAAAAGUAAAAAUAUCAUCACAUUACAGUAUGUGGGAUAGAUAUGAUCUAAAGUCUGGUAAACAAAACAUGAUUAAAGCAAGUAUUUUAUAACCUACCUGGGAGCCUGCAGAGAGGUGCCUUCAGCAGACUGCCUCUGUUUGGCCUGCUACCAGUCCUUAAUACAUCUGGCAAGCCUCUCAAAGGCAGCCAUGAAUGCUGCAGCAUAAACUAAUUAACCUUCAUUAUGUAAAAGACCAUGACAGAUUUAUUCAUCAAACAACACAAAUGCAUUUUAUACACUGCGAGGCAGUUGGAUUUGUGCAUAUAUAUUAUAAAAGGCCCUCAUGGCGCCUCCUGCCUCUCUACAGUGCAGGAGGAGGCUGAGGUUGCUGUGCUCCCCUCCCCUAACAGAGACACAGUAAUGUGACGUCAUGUUGCCUCCGUUCAUGUUGCCUAUAAGCGGCAAACAUUAAGGGAGUUUAAGGAAGUCUAUUUUAAGAUUCUUUCCGCCAUUUAAGCAAAAUUUACUGAUUUGUCUGAUAUGCGUGUAUUGGGUUGAAUGAAAGAGAAACUAUUUUCAAAGAAUGUAGAUUGUAAAAACCUUUUGAUUGAGAUGAUUUAAGUCACUUUAUUUUUGAUAAACAUUGAUGGUAGUUUAGUUGUUUUCUCAAUUUGUGAUAGCUUACUGUUUGCUGCUAUGAAAAUGCUAAAAAUCUACUGAAUUAGUGGUACAUUUUUUCACAUUACUUGUAAAAUUCUUUAUUCUAAUCAAAAAAUCCUUAAGGCUAAACUGAAAUUUGAUUUCAUUUUAGUUGACAUUAGAUCUCAA
Long non-coding RNA from Thunnus maccoyii (southern bluefin tuna), 1645 nucleotides. RefSeq lists it as uncharacterized. The transcript has 4 exons. The record is from RefSeq and is a predicted model, not a curated record. Lineage: Eukaryota; Metazoa; Chordata; Actinopteri; Scombriformes; Scombridae.